Non-coding RNA from Salvelinus sp. IW2-2015, 1250 nucleotides. NCBI's taxonomy places the organism in Eukaryota, Metazoa, Chordata, Actinopteri, Salmoniformes, Salmonidae. The record is from RefSeq and is a predicted model, not a curated record.
ACAGGGGGUUCAGAUUAGUGUAUAAUAAUAAACUAUUGUAUAUAAACUAAUCUCAUAUGGAGAGAUAACUAAAACACACUGAGGACUAGCCCUGUUAUAACAGCUCUCUCCACCCACACCCUGUGUACAUUGUGUGCGCGUGUAGUGUGUGUGUGUGGUGAGCGCAAUGCAGCAAUCCUCUUUAUCAGAAUCACAUUCUCGAUUCUUUUCCUAAAACCCAUUGACUCCUAAAUGCCAAGUGAAUCCGGUUAGAAGUAAACCAUUGUUUCUAUCCCACAUUGUUUAAACAUUGUACGCAUAUGAUUAUGGUAUAUGUGAUUCUGCUAAGCAGAGAGCCCCAGUAAGUAGCAGAGGGAAAAAUGUAGUUGCAAGGAGUUGUAAAAUGAGCUCUGGACCAGAGACACAAUGCUUUCUGAAUGGCCCCCUGUUUCCUUUAUAGUAACACGACUUAGUAAAAGUAGGACUCCAUGUAGGGAACUGAGGUGGUAUUUGAGACACAGCCCACAGUGAAGUGUUCUAACAAAGAGACACACCCACAGUGAAGUGUUCUAACAGAGACACACCCACAGUGAAGUGUUCUAACAAAGAGACACACCCACAGUGAAGUGUUCUAACAGAGACACACCCACAGUGAAGUGUUCUAACAGAGACACACCCACAGUGAAGUGUUCUAACAAAGAGACACAGUUUAGUUUUUUUAUUUUAUAUAUAUGUUAGUCAUAAGCUAUUACUUAUGGCAUCUUAUAUGCAUGUUAUCAGUUAUAACUUUUCUGUGAAAAACAUUUUAGUGCUCCUUAUGCUUUGUUUACAUUCAGCUUUUGAGUUUGAUCAUUAUAAACACAACACAUUUCAUUCUUAUUUAAUUCAUCAGCUACUUUUGUCUCAGAGAGCUAUAAUAUGAUGCCAUGUAUGAAAAACAUGCAUAUCAUGACGUGUAUUUAUUUGCUUGUUAUUCUGUACUGGAGAAUGUUGAUGGCAUUAUCAGCCCCUGACUGUGUGUUGGAGAGAAACGAGUCUGGUGGGUAGGGUUAAACCUGGUCCAGAAACUAGAGGUGAGAGAGACUGCACGGUGUGUGCGUGUUCGUAUGUAUAUAUUGUGUGUAAAUAGUGUUGAUUUUGUACGGUACAGGUGUGUGUGACUGUUUUGUACACAUGAUGAAAAGAUCAAAAGGACACUUUCAUAAGAGCCUUCCAUUGGCUCAAUGUCACACUAUACGGUGCAAUAAAGUGCUUUGAUUGGUGUGCUGUUA